Molecule: unclassified non-coding RNA, 3298 nt
Filed under: Portunus trituberculatus (swimming crab)
Lineage: Eukaryota; Metazoa; Arthropoda; Malacostraca; Decapoda; Portunidae
Description: ubiquitin-protein ligase E3C-like, transcript variant X6
Source: RNAcentral
AAGUAUGGAGAGGUAGGGAAGGAGAUGGAGGGAAGUGUCAUGUCACAGUGAAUGCAGCGGUGGUGGUGGUGGUGUACUGGUGAUGAUCAUCAUUCCUUCUUGCUGUUACGCCACAUGACCGUCACAAUUCCGGGUUUGAAUGGUGGUAAAGGGAUUUCCUGAAAGAUCAUCAUGUGGAGCUUUGAGGGAGAUUACCGCAGGAAGCCUCAGCAGAGGCUGGGUGGGGCAAGCAAGACCCGCAACAUUGAGCGUUCAGACCUCCUCAACCAGCUGAAGGCAGACCGGGAGGAACGGGAGAGACAGAGACGCAGAGAAGCAGCUGCAGUGACACUGCAGGCCUGGGCACGUGGUGUGUUGAGCCAGCGCCGCACCAAACUUGACCUACGCUACCAGUAUGAUUCUUACCUGGCACUCACCAAAGCACAGGGGAUAUCGGAAGGCUCAGCCAUCAGACUGAUUGCCUUGCUGAUCAGGAUAUUUCACCCACAGGAAGACAGUGACAGAUUGCUUGCCAUCUGUCAGCUGGUGAUCCGUGAACAGAAGCAGCUGGCUGAGUGGGUGUGUGGCUCAUGUGAACGAUGGACAUACCUGUUGCCUCGUCUAGCUAACAUGGCACUCAUGGUCAUCACACACCCUGUGCAAGGUGAUAACCCUGUGUCACAUGCUGGACCACUGCGCCUUCUGGAGAUUGUCCUGGCACCAGACUCAUGGCCCACUAGGCUGUCUCCAUCCCACCAACACCUCUUCCUCUCUGCAGUGUACUCACAUCUCAUCAAUAAAGGUUUUUACCAUCAAAUUGUUCAACUGUUAAUUACUCGUGUUCCUGAGGUAUAUGAAUCCUCCCAAGAGCCACCCACCCCUCUGGCUGAUGCUUUACUGCAGCUUCUGCUGAAGCCUCUCACCUUCGCUAGCAGCAUGACAGACACAAUGCUCCUGUAUUGCGUGUUGGCAGAGAUGUGUCGGCAUGUAUUGGGUGAAGCAGUCCACAGCCAGAUCUCUAAUUACAUCAUCCCUUGUUUGGCCUCCAACACAAAAUACAAAUUGCCCAUGGACAGGAUGGUGGCUGUGCUGGUCACCCACUCUCUCAAGUUCAUGGACACUUGUCCAGCUCCCGCCCUCCUCUACUCUCUCCUUAUGCUUGUACGCUCUGGUGCUGAUUUUCAAGAUGUUACCUCCCUGUGCAAUUACUUGCAAGCCAUUGGUGAACUGUUAGGAGGAACCACAUCCUAUCUGACAUGCAGUGAUGCAGAAGUGGACUCUGAUGAUGAGGAGGAAGACACCAUGGACUCCUCAAAGCCUCUCAAUCCUAUUUUAUGUAAGCUUGCAGAGGAGUGUGUGUCAGUGGUGAAUAGCACUGAGCACGUUGGGUGGCUGCUCAGUCAGGUGGAGCGGUAUGUGUCUCCCGAGGUGUUGUUUCACUUCUCCCGCCUCACACACCACCUCCUCACUGCCCCUUCCCUACAGCUCCAUCAGUGCAGGCUACUGUACAGUGUGGUAGUGCGGCGGCAGCUGCUGCGGUCCAUGUGGGUGGUGCUUUCGAGUCUGCAACAAGGGGCACCUCUUCCAGGCAGCAUCACAAACUCUCACCCAGCAUUUGGAGUGCGAGGAACACCACUGCUGCAGGUUCUGGCACGAGGGUCUCCUCUGGCCCCCUAUGAGCGGGACACACUGGUACCCCUCCUGGCUACCUUUUGUGCCACUCUCACAGCUGUCCUUUCCACACUCCAUGAUGCAGAGUUCCUUGGACAAUCUGAUGAGGCUCAGGAAGUGUAUUUACAAAAACCCACACAAAACCAGUUCCCAUUUUCUGUGGAUGAACUUGUAAAGAUGUCAGCCAGCCUGCGAGACGUGUGUGUGGGACUGGUGGAGCUGGCUCAUCCAGACACACGCAUGUCAGCCAUCACUGACACCUCCUACACUUCCUUGUGGGCACAUUGCUUCAAGGUGUGUGUUGGAGUGGUGAGGCAAAUACACUUGCGAGACACCAGGAGAAUGUUCUGUCCUGGUGGCCACUGGCUCAGCUCCCGGGUCACCCUGCCACUGAACAACUGUCAGACGGUAUCCUUCAUACCACGCACCAAUAGGAGACAGAGGAGGCUUUUCAUGCCACAGAGGCUGCUCACAAGGAAUGAAUUAGAAACGGAGGGUCCUCCAUUGUCUGUCACUGAUGAACGGAGAGGUACUAUUCUGCGAGAAAUUCCCUUUGUCAUUCCCUUUGAGUCUCGAACGCAAGUGUUCAGCAGGUUGGUGGGGAUUGACCGCAGCAUCAGUCAGAUGGGGGCGGAGUUCAAUGAGAGGCCUGUAAUUAAUGUUGCCAUCAGGAGAAGUCACCUCUAUGAAGAUGCUUUUGAAAAAAUAUCACCUAAUAAUGAGCCUAACCUGCGGCUGCGCAUGAAAGUUCGCCUGAUGAAUGCAGUGGGCCUCAAUGAAGUGGGCAUUGAUGGAGGUGGAAUAUUCCGGGAGUUUUUAUCUGAACUUCUUAAGACUGCCUUUGACCCUACAAGAGGUUUCUUCCUGCUGACUCUGGACAACACACUCUAUCCCAACCCUGGAGCACAUCUCAUAGCAGAGAACUACCAGACUCACUACUACUUCAUUGGAAGAAUGUUAGGAAAGGCACUGUAUGAAAAUCUACUGGUGGAAGUACCAAUGGCAGGAUUCUUCCUGUCUAAACUGCUGGGUCGGUCCUCUUCCUCAGCUGAGAUCCACCACUUGGAUUCUCUGGACCCAGAGUUGUGUCGCAACCUUCUCUCCCUCAAGACCUACCAAGGGGACGUCCAGGACUUGGGACUGGACUUCACAGUCCUCAACUCAAACCUGGGACAAAAUACAAUUGAGGAAUUGAUCCCCAAUGGCACCAACAUCCCUGUAAACAAUGAAAACCGCAUUGAGUACAUUUAUCGUAUGGCUGAUUACAAGUUGAACAAACAGAUUGCAAAACAGAGUCAAGCUUUCAAAAAAGCAGCACAUCUGGCAGAGGGGGACAGGGAGAGGCCAGGGAGCCUUUGUUUACAACCACGUGGUGGACAUUCGACUAUCAGGAGUGGUAGAUGUUGUUCCUCUUGAAUGGCUUCAGAUGUUUGAUUGGCGAGAACUUCAGAUGUUGAUAUCUGGUGCUUCUGUUCCUAUCGACCUUGAAGAUUUGAUGGAUAACACCAGAUAUGGCGGAAUCUACAGCACUGAGAAUUCAACAAUACAAGCCUUUUGGCAAGUCCUUAGAGAAUUCAGUGAAACACAAAAACGUCAACUUCUGAAAUUUGUCACAAGUUGUUCUAGGCCUCCACUCCUGGGAUUCAAG